GUCUUAGCUCAAAUGGUUGAGCACCUGAGAAUGCAAUAUGUUUCCAAUGCAUCUCAAGAGAUGGUGGUUCAAAUCCACCAAGAUCCU
This 87-nucleotide transfer RNA is filed under the name Thalictrum thalictroides. Its description in RNAcentral is "tRNA-OTHER". The record is from RNAcentral. Lineage: Eukaryota; Viridiplantae; Streptophyta; Magnoliopsida; Ranunculales; Ranunculaceae.